Molecule: ribosomal RNA, 750 nt
Filed under: uncultured archaeon
Lineage: Archaea
Description: bacterial SSU rRNA
Rfam family: Archaeal small subunit ribosomal RNA
Source: RNAcentral
AGUCAACCUACCCUAAGAUUGAGGAUAACCUCGGGAAACUGAGGCUAAACCUCAAUAGAUAAAGGAGGCUGGAAUGCGCCUUUGUUGAAACGUAAGGUCUUAGGACGGGACUGCGGCCGAUUAGGUAGUUGUUGAGGUAACUACUCAACAAGCCAAUUAUCGGUAAGGGCUCUUAACGGAGAGGCCCUGAGAGGGACUCUGAGAUACUAGUCCCAGCUCUAUGGAGUGCGGCAGGCGGGAGAAUUCUUCAAUGUCCGAAAGGAUGAAAGAGGAAUCCAAAGUGCUUCUCAAUUUGAGAGGCUUUUGUCUACUUUAAAAAGAUGGGCGAAUAAGGACUGGGCAAGACUGGUGCCAGCCGCCGCGGUAAUCCCAGCAGUCCGAGUCGUGGCCACAUUUAUUAGGUCUAAAACAUUCGUAGCUUGCUCUGUAAGUUCUUUGUGAAAUUGUUGCACUUAAUGCAACAGCGUGCAAGGGAGACUGCAAAGCUAGAGACCGGGAGACACAACGAGUACAUUCAAGGUAGCGGUAAAAUGUUUUAAUCUUGGAUGGACUGACAAUGGCGAAGGCACGUUGUGAGAACGGAUCUGACAGUGAGGAAUGAAGGCCCGGGGCGCAAAAUGGAUUAGAUACCCAUGUAGUCCGGGCAGUAAACACUGAUUACUAAACAUUGUGUCCUCCUCGAGGGGAUGCAGUGCUGAAGGGAAGCUGAAGAGUAAUCUACCUGGGGAGUAUAGCCGCAAGGCCGAAACU